GAUUAACGCUGGCGGCAUGCCUAAUACAUGCAAAUCGAACGAAGCACUUGUGCUUAGUGGUGAACGGGUGAGUAACACGUAUCCAAUCUACCCUUAGGUUGGGGAUAACUGGUCGAAAGACUAGCUAAUACCGAAUAUCAAUACUCCUAUCGCAUGAGAAAGUAUUGAAAGAUCCUUUUGGAUCGCCUUUGGAUGAGGGUGCGGCAUAUCAGAUAGUUGGUGAGGUAACGGCUCACCAAGUCAAUGACGUGUAGCUGUACUGAGAGGUAAAACAGCCACAAUGGGACUGAGACACGGCCCAUACUCCUACGGGAGGCAGCAGUAGGGAAUUUUUCACAAUGGGCGAAAGCCUGAUGGAGCAAUGCCGCGUGAAUGAUGAAGGUCUUACAGAUUGUAAAAUUCUUUUAUUUGGGAAGAACGACCACGAUAGGAAAUGAUCGUGGAAUGACUGUACCAUUUGAAUAAGUAUCGGCUAACUAUGUGCCAGCCGCCGCCGUAACAC
Molecule: ribosomal RNA, 502 nt
Filed under: uncultured bacterium
Lineage: Bacteria
Description: bacterial SSU rRNA
Rfam family: Bacterial small subunit ribosomal RNA
Source: RNAcentral